Solanum lycopersicum (tomato) is the source of this 848-nucleotide long non-coding RNA. RefSeq lists it as uncharacterized. NCBI's taxonomy places the organism in Eukaryota, Viridiplantae, Streptophyta, Magnoliopsida, Solanales, Solanaceae. The record is from RefSeq and is a predicted model, not a curated record.
UACUAUUAUAAUUUUCUUGUCCACAUUAUUAAUUGUUUUUGAUAGGUUCUUAAGAUUGAUAGAUUUGGUUAAUUUUGACUUCUAACCAAAUCUAAUAUAAAUCAAUAUAUAUAUAAAGAGAGAGAGUGAAAAAAAAAGUUAAAAACACCACACACCAACUAUAAAAGCCCUUCUUUUGCUCCAUAAUUUUUCGUCCUUCUCUGUUUCUCUAUACAUGUCCUCCACUUUAGAGACUAUAUUAAAGUUUUCUUUUUCUAUCAUCAUAAAGUAUUUUUCAAGAACCAAAAUCUAGAUCGCAAUAGAGAGAAGCAAUCAACCAUUAUCAACAACAUAUAAAAACAAUGAAAGUGCUAUACUCAAUGCAAUUGACGUUGAGGGAUUUAUCAAUCAUACUCGAGGAGAACAUAGGAAGGCCAAGGAGAAUAUUGAAACAAUAAAAACGAUAAUGGAAAACUUGAAGAAGAAAACAGAAUCUUUGAAGAAGAAAAUCGAAAAUACAAAGAUAGCACAUCUCGAACAAGAACAAACACUUGAAGUUGAAAAGGCUAAGAUGCAGAAACUUGAGAUUCAGUUGGAGCAUGCUCAAGCAACGCAAAGGGAGAUUGAGCAACUCAAGAAACCAGCUUCUCGAGAGAUUAAAUCCAGCACUCAACCUCUGCCUCCUCUGGCGUAUGCAGAAUUUUUUAUAAGUGGCGAUCGACAUUUAAAGAAGAGGACAAAUUAGAGAGAAAAUAUAUUUUUAUUUUUGAGAUUUUUUUUGUAGAGAAGUUGUUUUUCUCGUUUAGUCAUCUACAUGUAAUAGAUUCUCGUUAAUGUUUAAGAAAAAAUUACUUAUUGAAAAAAUAAAA